CGCUAAGAAGCUAACCAGGUAACAGCGCUAGCCUUUUAAGCUAGAGAUUGGUGACUCCACCCACCCUUAGUGA
Molecule: transfer RNA, 73 nt
Filed under: Oostethus brachyurus (short-tailed pipefish)
Lineage: Eukaryota; Metazoa; Chordata; Actinopteri; Syngnathiformes; Syngnathidae
Description: tRNA-Lys
Rfam family: tRNA
About the family: Transfer RNA (tRNA) molecules are approximately 80 nucleotides in length. Their secondary structure includes four short double-helical elements and three loops (D, anti-codon, and T loops).
Source: RNAcentral